RNAcentral lists this ribosomal RNA (270 nucleotides) under uncultured archaeon. RNAcentral describes it as "partial 16S ribosomal RNA". It matches the Rfam family "Archaeal small subunit ribosomal RNA", at positions 477 to 747 of the family's 1478-position model. The record is from RNAcentral.
CAGCACCUCAAGUGGUCAGGAUGAUUAUUGGGCCUAAAGCAUCCGUAGCCGGCGCUGUAAGUUUUCGGUUAAAUCUGUACGCUCAACGUACAGGCUGCCGGGAAUACUGCAGCGCUAGGGAGUGGGAGAGGUAGACGGUACUCGGUAGGAAGGGGUGAAAUCCUUUGAUCUAUUGAUGACCACCUGUGGCGAAGGCGGUCUACCAGAACACGUCCGACGGUGAGGGAUGAAAGCUGGGGGAGCAAACCGGAUUAGAGACCCGAGUAGUCC